This is a long non-coding RNA of Haliotis rubra (blacklip abalone), 544 nucleotides long. RefSeq lists it as uncharacterized. NCBI's taxonomy places the organism in Eukaryota, Metazoa, Mollusca, Gastropoda, Lepetellida, Haliotidae. The record is from RefSeq and is a predicted model, not a curated record. The transcript has 2 exons.
UAACGUAAUGGAAUUCAAAUUGACAUGGAUUUAGAAACAUUGCGACACUGAAGUAAUUACAAGCCGGAACGGAUUCAUGUGACGCCAGUUGUGUAAGAAGACUGGAUAAAUGAGAACGGUAUAAGCAUUGUAUAUACAACGCACCACCAACCUGGCGCCAAGACUGCCUGUCAUCAGACAGAAAUGCCAACCCAGGCUGUCCAAGAGACUUCAUGUUUAGCAGAGUCUACAUACAGGGACGAGCAUUACGCAGCUCCUUGUCAACAACCAGAACACGCUCAAGAAUACUGCCAAUUAACAUGUCUGGAUGUCGAGUUAUCUGACUUCUUUGGAUUUUAGAACUUCUUGUAAUUUAUUAUAUGCAAAUCUGCAUUAAUAACAGUCACUGUAAGAGACUGUGGCUGUAGAUUGAUGUGAAUUUGAUAACCGACUUUUCUUGGUUUGACGCCGCGGGUGUCAUAUGGGUUAUCUCAAAUGUGUCAAACAUGUCCUUAAAUCAAACAUAUUAAGUCUAAUGCUGCAUAGAGCUUACAUUUUACACGUU